Molecule: ribosomal RNA, 252 nt
Filed under: uncultured Bacteroidales bacterium
Lineage: Bacteria; Pseudomonadati; Bacteroidota; Bacteroidia; Bacteroidales
Description: partial 16S ribosomal RNA
Rfam family: Bacterial small subunit ribosomal RNA
Source: RNAcentral
UACGGAGGAUGCGAGCGUUAUCCGGAUUUAUUGGGUUUAAAGGGUGCGUAGGCGGAUUUGUAAGUCAGCGGUAAAAAUGCGGUGCUCAACGCCGUAUCGCCGUUGAAACUGCAGGUCUUGAGUGAGCGAGAAGUAUGCGGAAUGCGUGGUGUAGCGGUGAAAUGCUUAGAUAUUGCGCAGAACUCCGAUUGCGAAGGCAGCAUACCGGCGGCGAUCUGACGCUGAGGCACGAAAGCGUGGGUAUCGAACAGG